AUUGAACGCUGGCGGCAUGCCUUACACAUGCAAGUCGAACGGCAUCGCGGGAAAGCUUGCUUUCCUGGCGGCGAGUGGCGAACGGGUGAGUAACACAUCGGAACGUACCGGCUAGUGGGGGAUAACCCGUCGAAAGACGGGCUAAUACCGCAUACGCUCUUCGGAGGAAAGCAGGGGACCUUUGGGCCUUGCGCUAGCCGAGCGGCCGAUGUCCGAUUAGCUAGUUGGUGGGGUAAAGGCCUACCAAGGCGACGAUCGGUAGCGGGUCUGAGAGGACGAUCCGCCACACUGGGACUGAGACACGGCCCAG
RNAcentral lists this ribosomal RNA (310 nucleotides) under uncultured bacterium. Its description in RNAcentral is "bacterial SSU rRNA". It matches the Rfam family "Bacterial small subunit ribosomal RNA", at positions 30 to 334 of the family's 1533-position model. The record is from RNAcentral.